GAAAAAUGAAAACAUUGGGCAGAAAGGGAAGAACCUACCCCGAGUGAGAGAAAUUCAAUGAAGGAGCUAAGUAGUUAAGGUUAAAAUAAUAGCAUUUGCACAUGGAUAGUUAAAAGGGGUGUGUGAGAAAAACGAAAUGACAGCUUUCUAGCAGAACUAAAGAGAAAUGGAAGCAAAAGCAGAUGGAAAUUCUAUAGCAGAACAAAAGCGGAACAAACAAAGAAUAAUCCAGGAGGAGGUGGGAGUCAAACCAGACGGAAGAGCUUAAAAAUUAUCAAAGCAAAGCAACGGUGCACAGGGAGAGCGACACAGAUUUGGGGCGGGGGUGAGUAUAAGGCCUGGAAAGAAUUUACAGGGACACUGUGAAGUGUGAAUGCAACAUGCAUGUGUUUUGCCCACAUUUACAUAAUGCAGGCAUCUUUGGUCAGGGGGCAACAGAGGUUUCAGGGAGCGCACCUGAACUCCAGAAUUUUCUCCAGAAUUCAGACUAGGAGAAGUGGUAUGGUUGUGGGCAACCCACAAUCAUCCACACACACAGUGCUUUUUACAUGGAAAAGUGAGGUGCUGGUGCUCAUAUAUCGAUAAAAGUGCCGUAGAUGCCAGCUCAAGAUGGCUGCCAUGGGCGGCAAAGAAGAGGUCUCUGACACCAGUACUCCAUACCAGUGAGUACUGUCACACACAAAAAGCAACCACCACACAUCCUGCCUCUGACUUGCCUUCUAUUCCCUGCAAAUUGUGGAUCAAUACUAUUUUAUAAUUAAUUGAUUGGAUCAAUGGAUGCCAUUUUGGGGGGGAAAGAGUUUAUGUGGUAUUUUUAUUUAUUUUCGUACACUGCCCUGAGAAGUUUUGUUGAAGGAUGACUAAAAAUAAUAACCAAAGCAUGUAAGUGAUGGUGAUAAUUCUCAAUACUUUAAAACUGUAUGCUUGCUAUUGCGGGCAGUGUUAUAUUGCAGCACAGUCUGCAACAUGUUCUUGAUCAUGACCCAAAAAUAGUGCAUUAGUGGUGGGUUCAUCCUGCUUUAGCUUGGUAAGAAAUAAAGCAGUGUGGGUCCCCUACAAUCUUUGCAGGCACAAACAGUAUUAAAAGUAGUAGGGAUCCUGCAUUACAAAUACGUUCAGUGCCUUUCGGAUGAACCGAGCAACAGUCUAAUUGAAACGGCUCAGAAUCUUUUGGACUUGAUAUUCAGAUUGUUCUUUGAAGAGGGCACACUCUUCCUUCUUUCCUACUUUAGUCCUGCAAAAAGUUUAAAGCAGGCCUGUAAGUUAUCAGAGUCUGUAGGCCUUCCCAACUCUUCUGGAUCAGUGUCUCUCUCCCUGGGCCAGGCUGGGCUUCUGAAGCCUCUUGAGAACAAUCAUCCUACCCUGAAAUCCUAUCUAAACUAAGCAUUCUCCAACUACAUCUAGGAAGAGAAGGAGGGUGGGUAAUUGCUACACCUUAUGCUGGUCAAUACAAGCAUGCUGGAUUUCUGCUUGAGAAAGCAACUGCAACAUUUGACAACAGCAUAGGUAACAGAAACAAACUGAAAAUGAAAUUAAAACAUUUAUAGGCUCCAAUACUUUGGCCACCUGAUGAGAAGAGAAGACUCCCUGGAAAAGACCCUGAUGUUGGGAAAGAUGGAGGGCACAAGGAGAAGGGGACGACAGGACGAGAUGGUUGGAUAGUGUUCUCGAAGCUACCAGCAUGAGUUUGACCAAACUGCGGGAGGCAGUAGAAGACAGGGGUGCCUGGCGUGCUCUGGUCCAUGGGGUCACGAAGAGUCGGACACGACUAAACGACUAAACAACAACAACAUAGUAUCAAUCAAUGUAAAGUUCAGGGCAUCUUGCAAGACUAUACAAAAGAAGCAACACAAUAAAAAAAUAACAGAGUAAGCAC
Molecule: long non-coding RNA, 1876 nt
Filed under: Podarcis lilfordi (Lilford's wall lizard)
Lineage: Eukaryota; Metazoa; Chordata; Lepidosauria; Squamata; Lacertidae
Source: RNAcentral